UGCUGCAUGGCUGUCGUCAGCUCGUGCCGUUGAGGUGUUAGGUUAAGUCCUGCAACGAGCGCAACCCUUGUUGCUAGUUAUUUUUUCUAGCGAGACUGCCUCGAAAACGAGGAGGAAGGUAGGGAUGACGUCAAGUCAGCAUGGCCCUUACGCCCUGGGCGACACACACGCUACAAUGGGUGGUACAGUGGGUAGCAAAGGAGCGAUCUGGAGCUAAUCCCCAAAACCAUCCUCAGUACAGAUUGUAGGCUGAAACUCGCCUGCAUGAAGCCGGAGUUGCUAGUAAACGCGUAUCAGCAUGGCGCGUUGAAUACGUUCUCGGGCCUU
RNAcentral lists this ribosomal RNA (327 nucleotides) under uncultured Chloroflexota bacterium. RNAcentral describes it as "bacterial SSU rRNA". It matches the Rfam family "Bacterial small subunit ribosomal RNA", at positions 1039 to 1382 of the family's 1533-position model. Lineage: Bacteria; Bacillati; Chloroflexota. The record is from RNAcentral.